RNAcentral lists this microRNA (22 nucleotides) under Rattus norvegicus (Norway rat). Its description in RNAcentral is "rno-miR-871-3p". Its record names the gene rno-miR-871-3p. Lineage: Eukaryota; Metazoa; Chordata; Mammalia; Rodentia; Muridae. The record is from miRBase by way of RNAcentral.
UGACUGGCACCAUACUGGAUAA